GCCCCAGUAACGGCGAGUGAAGCGGCAAUAGCUCAAAUUUGAAAUCUGGCUCUUUUAGGGUCCGAGUUGUAAUUUGCAGAGGGCGCUUUGGCGUUGGCAGCGGUCCAAGUUCCUUGGAACAGGACGUCACAGAGGGUGAGAAUCCCGUACGUGGUCGCUAUCCUUCGCCGUGUAAAGCCCCUUCGACGAGUCGAGUUGUUUGGGAAUGCAGCUCUAAAUGGGAGGUAAAUUUCUUCUAAAGCUAAAUACUGGCCAGAGACCGAUAGCGCACAAGUAGAGUGAUCGAAAGAUGAAAAGCACUUUGGAAAGAGAGUCAAAUAGCACGUGAAAUUGUUGAAAGGGAAGCGCUUGUAGCCAGACUUGCCUGUAGUUGCUUAUCUAGACUUUUGUCUGGUGCACUCUUCUAUGGGCAGGCCAGCAUCAGUUUGGGCGGUUGGAUAAAGGUCUCUGUCAUGUACCUCUCUUCGGGGAGGCCUUAUAGGGGAGACGACAUACAACCAGCCUGGACUGAGGUCCGCGCAUCUGCUAGGAUGCUGGCGUAAUGGCUAUAAGCGGCCCGUCUUGAAACACGGACCAAGGAGUCUAACAUCUAUGCGAGUGUUUGGGUGUCAAGCCCAUACGCGUAAUGAAAGUGAACGGAGGUAAGAACCUUCGGGUGCAUUAUCGACCGAUCCUGAUGUCUUCGGAAGGAUUUGAGUAAGAGCAUGGCUGUUGGGACCCGAAAGAUGGUGAACUAUGCUUGAAUAGGGUGAAGCCAGAGGAAACUCUGGUGGAGGCUCGCAGCGGUUCUGACGUGCAAAUCGAU
Molecule: ribosomal RNA, 805 nt
Filed under: Nodulosphaeria sambuci
Lineage: Eukaryota; Fungi; Ascomycota; Dothideomycetes; Pleosporales; Phaeosphaeriaceae
Description: eukaryotic LSU rRNA
Rfam family: Eukaryotic large subunit ribosomal RNA
Source: RNAcentral